RNAcentral lists this ribosomal RNA (488 nucleotides) under uncultured bacterium. RNAcentral's name for it is "bacterial SSU rRNA". It matches the Rfam family "Bacterial small subunit ribosomal RNA", at positions 28 to 526 of the family's 1533-position model. The record is from RNAcentral.
GAUGAACGCUGGCGGCGUGCCUAACACAUGCAAGUCGAGCGGAUUCUUAUAAAACUUCGGUUUUAUUUGGAUUAGCGGCGGACGGGUGAGUAACGCGUGGGUAAUCUGCCCUAUACCGGGGAAUAACAGAGAGAAAUCUCGGCUACAACCGCAUAAUAUCUAUAAGCCGCAUGGCUUGCACAGGAAAUGGUUACAGGUAAAGGAAGAGCACGCGUCUGAUUAGCUAGUUGGUGGGGUAAAGGCCUACCAAGGCGACGAUCAGUAGCCGACCUGAGAGGGUGAUCGGCCACAUUGGGACUGAGACACGGCCCAAACUCCUACGGGAGGCAGCAGUGGGGAAUAUUGCACAAUGGGGGAAACCCUGAUGCAGCAACGCCGCGUGAAGGAAGAAGGCUCUCGGGUCGUAAACUUCUAUCAAUAGGGAAGAAUAAUGACAGUACCUAAAUAAGAAGCACCGGCUAACUACGUGCCAGCCGCCGCGGUAAGAC